UAAAUCGUAGGAGAAAGAUUUUUGUUGUAAGAUGUAAAAUUGUCAUUUCCUUACGACGUGUAUACACGUCGUAAUACACAUCCACAGAUAAGAGGUUAAGUACUUUGGUAUCGAAUUAUUUGAAUGUCAUCAAUAAUCUCAGUAUCGAUUCCAUCACACAGAUAGCAUGAAAUUCUACGCGGCGGCGGAAUAGGAUUCUCUCCGGUAGAAAGAGAAGGACUGAAUCAUCAUUUCUCAUUCGCGUCCGUGAUCCAAAAAUAGUGUUUCGAGUUGUCCAGGGAAUGUGAUCCGGUUGAAGCUGGCCUUUUUUCUUUCACAUUUUAUUCGGAGUCGAAUUGCGGCGCAUAGCGCGCGGGACAGUGACCAAAGGACUCGGAAAUACGUGUAAACACCCGACGAAUGCGAACACAAACGAGCAUUCCCCGAAUACAAAUUUUAUGGAGAUCGGCUGGUCAUAUUUUAUACGGUUAUUUUUCUGCUGAUAACAAAAUAUUCGUACGAUGCCAGGCACCGAUUUAUAUGCCGGAUAUUUUACAAUUAAUUUUGAAAAACGUAGAAAAUCCGCGAUGAGAUAAUUCGAAGGUUUAAACAGGAUAUUGUAAUAAUUCGUUUAAUGGAUGAUGUUGCAAAGCGCGAUGAGACCUUCGUGAAUUCCAUAAUCUCAUCCGAAAUUGAAUCAUCGUAUUGGGAAAAUCCAAGAGAACGCGUCGAAUCUUUCGAUCUGAAGAACACAUUCAUUACUGGAACUCGCGGGAUAGGCCUCGUCGCUUAUUAAACUAUUUGCUGCACCAGGAGCAACAAAAGUGAUCACGGGCAUGUCUGGUACUCGAGCAUGACUCCCGGAAAUGUUAUAGAUCACGGCAAGGAAAAUUAGGAAAAAUCUCCGUACGUAGUGGACAAGAUCGUCGAACGUGAUUUGCAAAUAGCGUUACGGAAUUACGCGCCAACAGAACCCGGUAAAAUUCUUUACGAAGAAAAUUUGGAAAUUCGACGGGCACAGUUCGGACCGAACAGGAUGUUGCCGAACAAAACUUCGAAAAGGCGGUUAUCCGAAUGGUUCUUACACAAUAGGAAUCGCUAAGAAAUGAUUCUUCAAAAUCCUCGAAUAAAGAUUCUUCGCAGCGAACAUCAAGCUCAAGGAUCGCACUAACGUGGGCAUUAUUCUCCUGAAAUGGAGGAGGGUCGCUGAUCUAGGAAAGGUUGGGAAACCCUGCCCGUAACCGAUAACUGGGAAUGUCGUUUUUUCUUUUCGUGAACGGGAGUCUGGUAGACGACUACUUUGCUGCAACGAUAUACUCUGUUUUGCGUUCCGCGCGUCUGAUAGCGCUGACAUCACGCAGCCGUGCAAUCCUUUCACGGGCAGAGCGCAGAGGUUCUCGCGGCCUGGCGGGUUCGCGGGAGAUUUAUGGGAUUCCUGGCGGAAUUUUUGCCGCCACGCGAGACUCCUUUCGAUUCCUCGGUGCACACACAUUGUUAUCGAAUGAUUUGUAACCGGUGGGCACGCCGGGUCGCGCCGGGAUCGGACACCGAAGAAUUUCCAUGCGACACGACCUACAACAAGGGAACUCCGGUGACUCAUGCACGCUGAUUUUGACGAAACAUUGCAUAAGGGAGGACCAACCGACUUUCUCAACGAUAGAGCCGUAUUUAAGGCUGUACAGAGUUUACAGAAAAUGUUGAUCGACCUAUGAUGAAAUUGCGGUGAGAAAGCGUGCGCGCAGUAUAUUCGAAAAAUAAAUAUUUUUCCGCAUUUGAAUGACUGCAGACGAGCACAGGGCACAGCGUGGCCGUAGAUCCGAAGUAAAACGAGAUAUUACGUUACGAGAAGUUCGGAUUGUAACAAGUGUCAUACUUCGGAUAAUGGGUAUGUAUGAUAAUGGGUAUGGGAUAAUAAAAUGAGUGCUCUAGCAUAGGAUACUCCAAAGUCAAACGUGACAGUACCCAGGAACGUCACACGUGCGUCAGAUGCCGUGACCGGGGAAUAUUGUUUGAUACAUAGAUGGGAACGUGGCUGUUUCUUGUCGAUGGUCCUCAAGGACACGGCGGAGCGGGAAAGUGCCCUCGCGGGUGUAGGUAACUACUGAAACGUACUCACCUUGUUGACAGCCGACCGCAAGGAAGCAGCAGCUGAGAACGAGACAAGUGGGUAUCGUUCUUAUGGACCAGCUAUCGGUCCCCUUGCGCCUCGACAUUUUCCUUCGGGCACUGUUCGAAGCCUCACUAUCGGUGAAACACACCUCUGAUAAACGACGAUGUCUCGAGGCAAUUCGCCCAGGCUGUCAGUACAACACUGUCAUUGUUCACUGUGGUCGAUUCGCGGCGGGUGCUGGAUUACCCGACCUGGUCACCGGUACCGUCGGUGGCUAUCGAUGGACAACGGACGGACACAUCGCUGCCGCAGAAAUUAAUUGUAACCAAAGGAAAGAGGACGACACGUUUGCGAGGACGGCGCGCUUGUCACUGGCCACAGCUAGAAAGCAAAAUCCCACUUUCACUUGGUGGUGCGCGCCUCGCGAGGCGGAGCUGGCACGCCGAGGCCAUCGGGGUCUUUCCCUCUCUCUUUGUCCCUCUCUUUCCACAGCGGGCAACGUCGGCUCUCCCCGACUAUAACGCAUGUUCAUACACGUCUCUUUGUGACGAUCAAAUUCGAGGGACUCCGAGAUCUUCUGAAAAACUCCAGGGUCCGGGUUCGGUGGCAAUUUUAGCGCGUCCCGCUGGGUUUCGCGUGUACGUACAGGUUGCAUCAAAAAAGGGUGCCGCGAACCGGACAUGCGGCGAUGACACUGCCGGUAGACUCAGAGAUUCCCGUAUAACGCGCGAUCCUACAACACGGAUUCCUGUAACGCGUUGCGAAGAUAUUGCGACCGGACAGUUUUCCAUGUAAUUAAAUGCGAUUAAAUGCAGCAAAAUUACACGGAGACAGAGACGUUGGAAUAUGUAACUUUGGACGACUUUGGACAUUGACUAACUGCCGACACUGGACAAACGCUUUUUCGGUUUUGUUUAACUAAAUUGCAAGGAAUUUUUUAAAUGUU
Molecule: non-coding RNA, 3035 nt
Organism: Megalopta genalis
Lineage: Eukaryota; Metazoa; Arthropoda; Insecta; Hymenoptera; Halictidae
Source: RefSeq, a predicted model, not a curated record